This 1248-nucleotide long non-coding RNA is filed under the name Marmota monax (woodchuck). Lineage: Eukaryota; Metazoa; Chordata; Mammalia; Rodentia; Sciuridae. The record is from RNAcentral.
CAUGGCUCGGCCCGCGCGCGGCCGCGCUCAGCGCUGCCAGUAGGCCUCCACCGAGACUCCAGAAACCCUAAGGCGGGCACUGGCUAGUCUCCGCCUCCUUGGAAUCUUCCCCUUCAACAGUCCGUCUUCGCGGCUCUAAGACGCCUGUGCGAAGCGUGGCGGCCCGCCCAAGGUCCUCCAGGGUGAGCUGCGGGUCCCCGCCCGGCCCAGUGUGGUAACCAAGCAGCCAGGGAGGCUGGCGAGAGGUUCUAGAAGUCGCCUGAGAACUUUGCUACCUAAAAGGUCAGGGCCUGCCCCUAGGAACGCCGACGACACGACAUUCAAUGUAAAGAGAGCUUGUGACCUCGGAGGUAAUUGCCACAUCUGGCCGCUUAUCUGGGGGGACCAGGCGUCUGGAGGAAAUGAAGAAGAGGGCAGGACAAAGGACGUGAACACGGUCGCUGGUGCCAGCAUCGCCUCACCUCAGAAGUGGGUCAAGGAGGGGUGACUCCUGGCAUCUGUCUUAGAAGGGGCAAGUCUAGGCCACCCCCACAAAGAUGCCUGGUCCUGAUAAACCUCACUGCUGCCACCACAGAUUGUCCUACACAUGGGCAGAAAUUAUGCCUUUGAUACCUAUUUAUCAUAUGCAUUUUGAAGAUUUCUAAAUAUAUGGAUAUAUAGCUUUUAAGAGGUAAAAGUUGCCACCUGAACAGGCCAUGUGAAAUUUAGGUGGCAUUUGAAAACCUUCUUGAUCAUAUUGAGGAUGAAAAGAUGAAUUGGACAAUGUCUUUGUCAUAAGAGGGACUUUUUUCACAAUCUAGUAAGGAAAAAAGAAAACGUGAUUUGUGGCGUGAACAUGGGCAGAGUUUCAACAUAUUUCAGGAAGAAUUCAAUAAGUAGCCUGGUUUAAAAAGAAAAUGAUGCUACUGUAGAAGGGUGUGGUGAGAGAUAAGUCUUAAAGGGUGUGAUGAAAGAUACUGUGAAAAUGCCAAGCUGGUUUUGAGCAUGACUGAAUAGACAAGGAGCUUUUGUAAAUAUGAAUUCGUGAUGCUGGAACAAUUGGCUGUCAAAUGAAAAAUAAAUAAAUUAUUACCUGGCAUUAUAUACAAAAAUAAACUUCAGGUGGAUUAAAAAGUAAAUGUGAAAGGUAAAAUAUACCGGGCUGGGGUUGUGACUCAUUGGCAGAGCACUUGCCUCACGUGUGUGAGGCACUGGGUUCAAUCCUCAGCACCACAUAAAAAUAAAUAAACAAAGUAAAGAUAUUGUGCC